AGAAGAGUGUUUGCAGGUAAACCAUUAAUGCUUUGCAUACAUAAAAUUCUAGUUUAAAGAAAAUUUCAGAAAUUUGUUUUGUAACAGAUAAAUGUAUCAGACAUGUUUCUCUAGGCAAAGAAAGAUAUAUUAGGAUUGAGACCAACCAUGUAAAAUUUUCUGAGAUAUAUAUUUUACAUCACUACUUUAUAUUACUAAAGCAAUAUUAUCUGUACUUACAAGUUUCCUAAUACAUUCUACAGUAGGAAAAAAUUCUUGUAGGCUCCUAGAGCAUAAGAAACAAGCUUAAGAGUUGAAUAAAAGAAUUGGGUGGAUUUAUCCUUACUAGUCAAGAUUGAAAGAAAUGUAAUGCAUAGUUAGGGAGGAUUCAACCAAGUUCCAUUUUUAUUCUAUUACAUAUCAGAGGUGUUUUUUUUAUUUUAAUAUAUAUUGAAACUUACAGACUAGUUCUAUCGGGAUUUUCCACCUUAUGUUUAUUUUAGCCUCUAUGAUUUCUUCAUAAUAUUAAGAAAAAUUUAAAUUAAAGAAAAACCCAACAAACUAUAACAAGAGCAACAAAAUCAAAGGCAAGAGAGGCAAGAUGGGAGACAAGAAACUAGCUCAAUACCAUUUUAUACCACCAUUGACAAAGACAAAAGUGGUCCUUGUAGCCCCUUCCUCCCUCCCUUCCCUCCUUCUUUCUUCCUCUCCUCCUUCCUUUCUUCCUCCUUCCACAAAGUUAAACACAUUGUAAAUGUUGAAUUAGAGAAAUACUAUUGAAAUAUAUAAUGCAACAGAGUAUUAGGAGGCAAAUAGAAUAAUAAGAUGUGGUAAGAACAAGCAAGCAAGCAGAAUCAGACAGCAAGGAGUCCCACCAGAAGAGUAAAACCACAUCCACUACAUGUAGAGACGGUUAAAAGUAAAAGAAAAAUUUGCAAGGAACAACAUCUUCCUAGGAGUUUGUUUUGGAAUAAGACCAUAUUUACUGUGACAUGGAGAUUCAAACAAAGAAUCUAAGAUAAUAGGACAGAAUCCAUGAUUGAAAAAGUUUUUUUGUUCUUUCUAGAGCACUGAUUAAUUUCAUGGAUGACAAAAUUUUCCAUUUCAAAAUAUAUUCAAUUCUCCAUGAAAUUUACUUGUCUAUAAAAUGUCCACUACUGUUCAAAUGAGCAAAGGGAGAUCCACAAAGUUGGUUACAUAUACAAUAAUUAAAACAAAGGUAGUAUUAGUUUGCUUAAAAAUGGAUGAUUUCAUUUCCGAGAAUGUGAGUAUAUCUGCAGUUGAAGAUGAGGCAAUAUGUAUUUCUGACAAUUCUAAAGGCACUUUAAUAAGAGUUGUUUCACUUCAUUAACAUGAGCUUUUUUAUUUAAAGGUAAAAUUGAAUAAAUGAACUAUUAAUACCUGUGUUUUCAUAUACCCUAUAAUAUGAUUAACCAUACAGUGGAAAUUAUGCCUAAUUUUACCAAACUCUUAUUCUAAUAUUUCAAUUUUUAUCAUAUAAUGAGCAUAUCAUAGAUUGUGAAAAUUUUAAAUUGUUGGUAUUGUACAACUGAAUUAUGGUGGUUUUCCAACUAUUGUAGGUACUAGGGAGAAAACACAAAUACUACACUAAUGAUCUAUAGCAAGAAUUUGGCUUUCAGGAAAUAUGUUGUGUUUGAUUACAUGUCGCUUUAUUUUAUUUUUAUAAGGUAAACUUUUAAUUGAACUAAAGUAUGCAUUAAGAAGUGCAUAAAUCUUAUAGGUGUACAGGCUAAUGAAAUUUGACAAAACAUAUGUACCUGUGCUACUACUAUUAGACAAAAAAUUAGAGUAGCCCCGAAUCCCCACAAAAAACACUUCUGAAGAUUUUUUCUAAACACUACCAAAACUCCCAAUAAAAAGAACUCUUCUGAUUACUUUUGCCAUUUUUAAUUUAUAUAAAUGGAGUUACACAAUAUAGCCUUGUAUGGAUGUAGCAGUUUUUAUACAGUAAAACUAUAAGCCCACUUUGAUUUUAUAGAAUUAACAUAGAUCGGGGAGUUCCCGUCAUGGCUCAGUGGUAAUGAACCAGACUAGUAUCCAUGAGGACGCAGGUUCUAUUUCUGGCCUCGCUCAGGGAGUUAAGGAUCCAGCAUUGCUGUGGCUUUGUCCCCUAGAGAGCAGGUACGGCUCUGAUUUGACCCUAGACCCUAGACUGGGUACUUCCAUAUGCCCUUAAAGAGAGAGAGAGAGAGAGAGAGAGAGAGAGAGAGGGAGAGAGAGAGAGAAAUUCCCGUCGUGGCUCAGUGGUUAACAAAUCUGACUAGGAACCAUGAGGUUGCAGGGUUGAUCCCUGGCCUUGCUCAGUGGGUUAAGGAUCCAGCGUUUUCAUGAGCUGUGGUGUAGGUUGCAGACAUGGCUCUAAUACCACAUUGCUGUGGCUGUGGUAUAGGCCAGCAGCUGUAGCUCCGAGUAGACCCCUAGCCUGGAAACCUCCAUAUGCCAUGUGUGCAGCCCUAAAAACAAAAAAAAGGAAAGAAAAAGACAAAAACUCCCCCACCAAAAAAAAAAAAAAAAAAAAAA
This 2520-nucleotide long non-coding RNA is filed under the name Sus scrofa (pig). Its description in RNAcentral is "lncRNA (ENSSSCG00035033324.1)". Lineage: Eukaryota; Metazoa; Chordata; Mammalia; Artiodactyla; Suidae. The record is from RNAcentral.